This 628-nucleotide ribosomal RNA is filed under the name Argyrosomus regius (meagre). Its description in RNAcentral is "partial 16S ribosomal RNA". The record is from RNAcentral. Lineage: Eukaryota; Metazoa; Chordata; Actinopteri; Sciaenidae.
GUUGCCUGAGAAAUGAAUAGAAGUUCAGCCUCUCGGAUUCUUCCCUCACCUCUGUCUUCCUCCCCCUGACAGCCAAAAGAAGCCGAAAGAGUUAGUCAAAGGGGGUACAGCCCCUUUGACACAAGAUACAACUUUUCCAGGAGGGUAAAGAUCAUAUUUAAAUACUAAGGUAAAAUGUUUUGGUGGGCCUAAAAGCAGCCACCCCCAUAGAAUGCGUUAAAGCUCAGACAUAUCUAUCACCCCCGAUCCUGACAAUUUCAUCUUAACCCCCUAACCCUACCAGGCCGUCCCAUGCAUGCAUGGGAGCGACCAUGCUAAUAUGAGUAAUAAGAGAGCAUUAGCCUCUCUCCUUGCACAAGUGUAACUCGGAACGGACCCCCCGCCGAACCUUAACGACCCCAAACAAAGAGGGCCCUGAACAACAGACCCGCCAACUAGAAAAAUACUCAGCAAUCAAAUCGUUAAACCCACACUGGUGUGCCUUCAAGGAAAGACUAAAAGAAAAAGAAGGAACUCGGCAAACACAUAAAGCCUCGCCUGUUUACCAAAAACAUCGCCUCUUGCAAAAUUAACGAAUAAGAGGUCCUGCCUGCCCUGUGACCAUGAGUUCAACGGCCGCGGUAUUUUG